Molecule: long non-coding RNA, 1199 nt
Filed under: Felis catus (domestic cat)
Lineage: Eukaryota; Metazoa; Chordata; Mammalia; Carnivora; Felidae
Description: lncRNA (ENSFCAG00000053007.1)
Source: RNAcentral
GUCCGUCCCUGGUGCCUGGAGACAUCAGGAUACCUUGGGACCCAAACCGGAGAUGUCUUCGUUCCUUAAACCAAAAGCGACUGCACGUCAGUAACAUGUCAGACCCUGUGUUUAGCACAGGGGAUGCAAAGUUAAGUCAAACAGGGUCCCUGCCUCCAAAAACCUUACAGCUUAUCAUCAGGGACACAGACAUAAAUAAUAAGAUGUAUCGAAUGCAGUGUGGUAAGUGCACGCCGGAGCUGAGUGCAGGGAUGGGGGUUGGGUGAAGGACAAGGACAAGGAUGCAUUCCCAGAAGUGAUAGUGAGCUGAGUCUUGAGAGAGAGAGAGCUGGCUUAAGCAACCACAGGCAUUCCAGGCCGAGGGAACAUGAAGCGAGGGAGAGCUUUGAGCCUCUGAAGUGCUGCAAGCAGCUCAUUGUAGCUGGAAUGGAGAGGAGGAGGACUUGAGGUGAGCGAACAGCCUGGGAAAGUAGGUUGAGGCAGAGUCUAAGAGGCUUGGUGGGCUGGGCUAAGAGGUUGGCAUCAAUCCAGAAGGCAAAAGGGAACCACCCUGCAAACAGGGAAGUAGCGUGAUUGUAUUUACAGUUUAGAAGGAUAACUCAGGAGGCAUUUGGGAGGAUUUAUUGAUAGGAGGGGGGAAAAGAGUGAAGCAGAAGAGACUGAUGUAGGGCAGAUUCAAACGGUACAGCAUGGAGCCUGCUUGGGAUUCUCUCUCUCUCUCUCUCUCUCUCUCUCUUUGUCUCUCUCUCUCUCUGAAAAUAAAUAAAUAAACUUAAAGAGAGAGAGAGAGAGAAGCCUCCACAGGUCUUGGAAACCAAUUGGAUUUUGUGCAUGACCGAGAAGGGACGCUCAAGGGUGACAGGUUCACAGAACAAUUGCUUUGGGUGUGAUGUCCCGAGCAAGAAAUAACCCGCAUCAGGGAUUGAACGAGGGCGGCAGGUCCCAAUGCACUGGAGUGAAUGACAGACCUCCAUCAACCUCAGUAGGGCUUAUUGUCAGCUGGAAUUUUGGCCUUAAAGGGGCAGUGUGCAUAUCAGAAUGGCUGGGAGUCAUGAAUAUUAGAUGGGCCCCAGGGGGGUCUAAUAGGGCUCUCUCCACAACCCCCUCCCCCUGCCUUCCAGGUGACAUUGACUCCUCCCCAAACCUAGCUAAACUGAGAAUUCUUGCUUAGUAAUAUUCAUCCAUCUAGGAUAUUUUAG